GAUGAACGCUGGCGGCGUGCUUAACACAUGCAAGUCGAACGGGAUCCAUCAAGCUUGCUUGGUGGUGAGAGUGGCGAACGGGUGAGUAAUGCGUGACCGACCUGCCCCAUACACCGGAAUAGCUCCUGGAAACGGGUGGUAAUGCCGGAUGCUCCAGUUGAUCGCAUGGUCUUCUGGGAAAGCUUUCGCGGUAUGGGAUGGGGUCGCGUCCUAUCAGCUUGACGGCGGGGUAACGGCCCACCGUGGCUUCGACGGGUAGCCGGCCUGAGAGGGCGACCGGCCACAUUGGGACUGAGAUACGGCCCAGACUCCUACGGGAGGCAGCAGUGGGGAAUAUUGCACAAUGGGCGCAAGCCUGAUGCAGCGACGCCGCGUGAGGGAUGGAGGCCUUCGGGUUGUAAACCUCUUUUAUCGGGGAGCAAGCGAGAGUGAGUUACCC
Molecule: ribosomal RNA, 439 nt
Filed under: uncultured bacterium
Lineage: Bacteria
Description: bacterial SSU rRNA
Rfam family: Bacterial small subunit ribosomal RNA
Source: RNAcentral